AUUGAACGCUGUCGUCAGGCCUAACACAUGCAAGUCGAACGAGUGGCGGACGGGUGAGUAAUGUAUUGGAAACUGCCUGAUGGAGGGGGCUAACUACUGGAAACGGUAGCUAAUACCGCAUACCAUCGGAUGUGCCCAGAUGGUAUUAGCUAGUAGGUGGUGUAAAGGCUCACCUAGCCGACGAUCCCUAGCUGGUAUGAGAGGCUGACCAGCCACACUGGAACUGAGACACGGUCCAGACUCCUACGGGAGGCAGCAGUGGGGAAUAUUGCACAAUGGGCGCAAGCCUGAUGCAGCCAUGCCGCGUGUAUGAAGAAGGCCUUCGGGUUGUAAAGUACUGUCAGCGGGGAGGCGUUACCCACAGAAGAAGCAACGGCUAACUCCGUGCCAGCCGCCGCGGUAAUUC
This 406-nucleotide ribosomal RNA is filed under the name uncultured bacterium. RNAcentral describes it as "partial 16S ribosomal RNA". It matches the Rfam family "Bacterial small subunit ribosomal RNA", at positions 30 to 526 of the family's 1533-position model. The record is from RNAcentral.